UAUAGUUUUUAUUGUAAGGAAGUACCGACCCGCUUAUCCGUUUAGAAAUUCGGUCAAACAUUUUGAUAAUGUCCAAAAGAAGCUAUGGGUGAAGUUAUUUAAGUUAUGAGCAGGAUCAACGACCUAACUUUCGCCAAGAUGUCGCUGAAUCCUUUUAAACAUCCGAGCGUGCAAGAUCUUGUGAAGGACGUAUAUAUAAAAAAAACUCUUGCGGAGAAAGCUCUGAAAGUUGUGCGAGAUAUUCAGAUGGAAGCCGUCCAGAAUUCGGAAAAGCAAUUGAAUCCUGGUGAUGUGGCCAAUCGCUUUUGUGAACUCGUGGAAGCUGUUUUUCUUCAUGGACUGAAAAGUCGUUUGAGCAGAAUGGCGUUGUCUGAGAUGUUUGGGAUCGGAAAAGGAUCAGUACAAGCGCGGGGUCUUUCUUUAACAACAAAUACUAACCUGCCCCGUCCGGAUUUCUGGAGUCUAGUUCGCACCGUAACCCAUCGUGAAGGCCUUGAAACAAUAAACGCUCUUGAUCAAGUGAUAACUGACGUAGGGCGGAGCCGCUCGUGGGUGCGAUUUGUUAUCAACGAUGGUACGCUGGCCUCUUGCAUUGAAUGCAUCGCAAAUGAUCCAAAGGUCCUAUCCUCGUUUUACCGUUCCUCUGCGCUACUUCGGGAUGACGAACUUACCUCAGUUAUUGUUCGUCUCUUCAGCUCGUUGUCAGACGUGCGUUUCACUCUGCCACUGAACGUCGCAUCACUAAACCUUUGGCAGCCGGGUCCGCUUAUACUUUGCGGAUUAUGGCAACGAUUGGAAGAUGUUGAGAGUAUCAGUCCUGUGACGUAUGCGAUGGAUGUCGAUGACUACUUUAUCAGGGAAGAUGAAAGAUCAUAUGAAAAUCUCGGGAAGAAGCUGCCUUUGGCUACGGAUCAGGAUCGUGAGCAUCCUAAGGCUCGUUCUUCCGAAGAACCUUUCCAGCCACACGAGCAAAAACAUUUAGCCGAUUCACUUGGCCUUCCAGCCAGUAUUGCGGAUGAAAUCGAACAAGCUCUAAAGAUAAAUAAAGGUGGUGAUCGAACACCAGUUGUCACAGAUGCAUCGACACUCAAAGCUAAUCCUAAGGAAAUGUCAGGAGAGUAUGAUAGCCUCCUAGCCAGGUCAACGGUCGGCUAUACACAACCUAUCGGCGAUACAGGAUCUGCUACUAUUAUGAGCUGGAAAGGUGGUUUGGUCGGCGAAUGCGGCGGAGGUUGGUCCUCUGUGUUUGCACCACCAUCUUUAAAUGACCCUACAGUCGCUGACGUGGAAAACGCUGCGAAUGUUCCAGUAGAAAGUGAAAACAGUGCCGAGGAAUCGAGUCUUGACUCAAUCCUAAAUUCGUCCGCGCGUCACAUGCACCUGUCUUUGUCACUUGAUACUGUCCCUGCUGGUACACCCGAAUUAUCCAGCUUAUUGACAGAGGUGUACAAUACUAAGGCGACCGGUGAUAAUAAUGAGAGGAUGCCGACUGGAACCCCAGAUCGAGAAAGUGAAGACUCGGAAGACAACGAUUUUGAAAUUAUUCCCUCUCCAGUAAAAGAAAAUUCACGCAUACUUGCCUUACUCAACGGGCUUGGACAGGUACCUCGUGAGAAAGGUCUUGACGAGCAGAACUUCGAAUGCGCGGGCUGCAAAUGUGCUAUUGGUAUGAUCUUCGGGCCCUACACUAAAUGCGCGUUUGAUGGUCAUCUAUACUGUAACGAAUGUAUGGGUCAGGGCACGAAAGUAGAGGAGCACGUGAUACCGUCACGUAUUGUCCAUGAUUGGGAUUUCCGUGUUCAACCGGUGUGUCGUUUCAACAAACGUUUUCUCGUCCAAUACGAACAAGAACCGCUUCUGGACAUACGAGAAUUGAACGUUAUGCUGUAUUCAAUCGUGUCAGACCUUGCCGCUGUACAGGUCUUGCGGCGCCAGCUACGUUUUCUUCGACUCUACUUAUUUUCUUGCCAGGAGUCUGCGAAGGAGGAGCUCAAAAAACGUUUAUGGUCCCGCGAGCAUUUAUACGAACAUGUGCAUCUUUAUUCGACACUUGAUCUUCUUUCCAUACCCUCAGGUUCCCUGCAAAAAAGUUUGGAAAAGGCUGUCCAGUUUGCUAAAAAGCAUGUGCUCUUGUGCCAGCUUUGUUGCCAAAAAGGCUUCAUAUGCGAGCUGUGUAACGACCCAAAGGUGAUUUUCCCAUUCAAUAUAAAUGAGACGCACUUUUGCGAACGUUGCUCUGCCCUGUACCAUCGACAGUGUAUGGCAGAAAGGAAUCAGUCUUGCAUCAAGUGCGAACGGAAAAGGCUGCGUGAGCAACGCCUAGCGCAGCAGCGGGAGCUUGAUGAAGGCAGCUUCAAAUCAUGAUAGCCUGGCAAUAUUUUUUCCAAGUUUUCAAGACACAUCUUAAGGACAUAAAUAAAGCUAGUCCAUUCUGUAUCAGAACACAGGUCAAUCUAGCAGUGAUACCGCGAGGUAUAUUGCCAUGUAUUAACGGCUUUGUUACGAACCAUUUGGAUGAAUUUGGAACAAGCGGUAUCCCAGCGCUAUCAACACGAAUGCAGAGAUAUUAACAAUUACCGCAUUACUGAACGGAGACGAUCGUGAUUACCUAUCUGAACGACUGUUCGGACGGAGGAAAUCCUGGAUUAACAAGGAAGAACCAGAGGUGGAUCGCUAUCAAAGAAACGACAAACUUCUAACUUAAAUCUGGCUACAUGAAAUACUAAAAAGAGCGAUCUCAAACGAAGGCUGUAAGGAAGAAGAGUCGUAGUAUCCUCAAGAUGAGGAGCGUGUAAGGUAGGUUACGAGUUCCAAAGAUGUAAGAACAAUAUCAAACAAAGCUAUUUGCAACAAAAACCAGGGAAAGGACCUUGGGGGUACAGGAGUUCUCCUGGUGGUCGUGUUCAUCAGACGGAACGAUUCACGUCCAGUCAGUGUGUUCAAAUGGUGAAAAAAGCCACAAUGCGGCCGCAAGCAGUAGACAAGCAUUAAUUAAUGCAUGUUUACCAUCUGUAUGAUAAAUUACAGACCGUAAUUGCAUUAGCUUAAAUUUAAACUCAUGGUGCGAUUUUACGAUAAUACUUAUUAUGUAUUUGGGUACUGUUGAAAAGCACUUGAAAAGGGCUUCUAAGAAACUAUAUACUGUGUAUAAUUUAGCCCAACAAGAAAAAAAUGCAUCAUACUUUCCUAAUUAUGAUUUGUCAUCUUUAUGUGUUUUUGAAUACAAUAUAUCUUAUAAACAUGGUUUGUCGGAAUAACUAUUAUAUAUAUUUUACAAGGACUGCAUGUUUUCAUGCGUUUUUUUUUGAGCAAUUAACUCGUUCUUGGAUCCUUAAAAUCAAAGUUAUAGCUUUUUGAGCGAGUACGAAACAUGUACAGGAUUCAUUUUCGGAAUUAAUUCUCUAUUGCAGAUUUAUGCGAUAACAUCGAUUGACAAGUCACAAAGUUAUAGCUUUUCAACAUUUUGAAAUUGGGAUCCUAUUUUUGGAUAUAUUUGGGCAAUGCUUUUCGCAAUAGUUAAGAUUGUGUUAUAAAUAAGAAGUGUAAUAAUUAAGAUAAUGUUUCUGAAAAUGGUCUGACGUACCUGGAAAAAAAUCCAAGUUAUGCUAUGAGAUGCUAAAAACAACCUCAUCCCUAGAAUAUAAUGAAUUAGAGAAAGAGUAUCUCUCGGAGCUGUAAUUUUGACAGCCAUUGAGGAUUUAUGAAACAUCCGAAAUAGAAAAGUUACUUAAUUAUUAUUAAGACUAUUAAUAAUAAUCGUUUUCAUUUGUCCUAUAGAAUCGAUUGUUGUAUUUUCCUGAGCAAACAGUUUUAGAAUUUCUAGCAACUUUGAUGUUUCCACAUACAUAGUUUGUUUUUUUACAAGCAGUUUGAGACUUUAAUAAAAUUUCAGAAAUUAUUAGGUUUCAUAUCACGGAAUAAGGGCAAUCUAACUUCUAUAUGAUACCAGAUCAACGAUGCAGAUGUGAUUGAUAAUAACAAUUAAACCAAUGCAGCAAAGUUACUGAAUUUUUAUAGUCGAAUAAAUAGAAUGCAUUGGGUUAAAUGAUGAGAGAAUUGUAAUCCUGUGAUUUCAAUGAAACGCAUUAAGAAUUGUAACAGUAGUGAAAGUUCGCAGAUGGAAAAGCAGCACAAUAAUUUUUAUAGUGUCCGACGCGUAUGUGCUUUGUCGAUCAUACGUAAGAACGAGCUAGUUGAUCAAAUCCUUUGAGCCCUAGCUCUAUAUAUAUCAAUUGUUAGCUAUUUCAGAAUUUUUACCUGUGUGAUGAUACCACACGAAUCAAGUGGAGCUAGCUAAUGGGACUCCAUACUGCUGUUUAUGAACAGUCGGUCAGUUGAUAGCGAACUAUCUGCACAAAAUAUGUAUUUCUCAGUUAUUUAUAUAACUGUAGUACUGGGAUUCUACGUACUGGCCAGCCCUCUGGCUUUAGCGUCUUUAUUAAAUUAGUUCGAGACAAGCAGGUACCGUGUGACGGCUAAAAAAACGACACGGUGAGAAACGGAAACGAAGUUGUGGAAUCAAAGUUAGCAAAUAAAUAAUCAGUACCAGUAAUCCCUAGGGUAAUGUGCAUCUUAUUGUAAAAUACAGUAAUAUCAAUAGUGGCAGUUAGUGUUUACCAACUAUAGCACACUUCAUAAUUGUUGUAAUAUAAUUAUUUUUUUCUUUUUCGAAUAGAGUAUUCGCAAUGUAAAUCUUCGCCUUGAAAGGUAAAAAAAAUAAUGUCUGCACUGGAUUCGUUCAGGUAAACUCAUAUGGUUUCAUUUGGCUUAAAUUAUGCAUUCGAAUGACUUAAUUUUUAGGAAUCAAUGACUCCCUUAGAAUGUGAACUGUGCAUACAAUAAAGUAUAUAUUUAUAUUUGGAAAAAUAAAUGCCACGCAUGGAAGUUGUGAACAUUAUAGAUCGUUGCGCAAAGAUUAUUAAGAUGCCUUACAGAUUGAUCAGAAAAAAUAUUUUCUGUUACAGCCUCCGCUAUUUUGCGAUGGAAGUAAUUUAUCCCGUGUUAUUUCAAUUGCUGUCCUUGCUUAUGUUCUAUGCUUAUGUUCUAUGCUGUCGAUGCUUAUGUUCUAUUGUAGUUUUUAUGACGCUUUGGAAUUUUCUUUAUUAGAAUUUCUGUACGCUCAUAAUGUCAUUCUUUGUGGUGAUACAUGUUCACUGUAACCCCUAUUGAGCUCAAAAGCAGUUCUAUUCGGAACCUAAAUCACUCAUUAGCAAUUUCCAAAAGUAUUUUUUUAUACCCGCAAACAAUUUUUUAGUACUAAUCCUAUAUAACCGGACGUAAAAUAGGAAAAGCAAUAUUGUGCUCUUCGUAUUUUACGUCCGGUACAUCAGCUGUUAGGCAUUGCUUCAGACGACUGGCUCCCAGAACGAAUCGAAGUGUGAGUGUUUGCCGGGAUCGAACUUUAACUAUUGCACAUAUCUAAGUGUACGGGACUUCACUAUUGCGGAGAAUAACUUCGAAACCUAUUUUUUGUAUUAGCGUCAUAUAAUGUAAUUUAUUUUGUAAAAUGAGACUUUUUAUAAUUGCCUUUAAACCGAACAGGGGAAGAGGAAAAAACAGCAUCCCCCAUCAAUGUAGCUGCAAACAAGGAGGCGAAGCACCGACUGCGACAUGAACGAUUGUCCACUUAAAGAAAGAAAAAAAUUUUAAGUGAUUAUUUUUACUGUUAUUGCACUGAUAGGAAUAGAGCUGACAAUCCCUACUGCUCUG
Molecule: RNA transcript, 5709 nt
Organism: Varroa destructor (honeybee mite)
Lineage: Eukaryota; Metazoa; Arthropoda; Arachnida; Mesostigmata; Varroidae
Source: RefSeq, a predicted model, not a curated record